AGCAGCAGCCGCGGUAAUACGAAGGGUGCAAGCGUUAAUCGGAAUUACUGGGCGUAAAGCGCGCGUAGGUGGUUCAUUAAGUUGGAUGUGAAAGCCCUGGGCUCAACCUGGGAACUGCAUCCAAAACUGGUGAGCUAGAGUACGGUAGAGGGUAGUGGAAUUUCCUGUGUAGCGGUGAAAUGCGUAGAUAUAGGAAGGAACACCAGUGGCGAAGGCGACUACCUGGACUGAUACUGACACUGAGGUGCGAAAGCGUGGGGAGCAAACAGGAUUAGAUACCCCCGUAGUCCCUGUCUCUUAUAU
RNAcentral lists this ribosomal RNA (303 nucleotides) under uncultured bacterium. RNAcentral's name for it is "partial 16S ribosomal RNA". It matches the Rfam family "Bacterial small subunit ribosomal RNA", at positions 507 to 809 of the family's 1533-position model. The record is from RNAcentral.